This 1557-nucleotide non-coding RNA is filed under the name Amphibacillus xylanus NBRC 15112. Lineage: Bacteria; Bacillati; Bacillota; Bacilli; Caryophanales; Bacillaceae. The record is from RNAcentral.
GUGAGAAGUCAGCAGAAGCCGUAGUAGUGAAGAGAACUAACGAAAGUUAGAACGAGCGAAGGGCUGAACAGUUUUAUCGUUAUAAUCAUCUCGAUUGAAAGAGGACACAAGACCACUGGCAUAAAGCGCAAAAGUGGAUACCUACUUUACGAGAAAGAAAGGAUAUAACCAGCAUGUAUGAGAGAAAAUUACUAAAUCAAAUACUAGACGAAGGAAAUCUUAACUUAGCAAUAAAACAGGUGAAGAGGAAUAAAGGCUCCGCAGGUGUCGACGGAAUGUCGGUCGAACAAAUACAGGGUUAUCUAGCGUUAAAUAAAGAUGACCUUUUAAAAAGUAUUCGAAAUAGAACCUACAAACCAGAACCUGUCCUGAGGGUGGAAAUACCAAAGCCUAAUGGCGGUGUGCGAUUACUUGGCAUACCCACAGUUAAAGAUCGAGUGAUCCAACAAGCAAUAGCACAAAUCCUAACUCCACUAUUUGAUAGACAAUUCAGUGACUAUAGCUAUGGCUUUAGACCAAGACGAUAUGCGGAAAUGGCAAUUAUCAAAGGACUAGAGUAUAUGAAUGAUGGUUAUGAGUGGAUUGUCGAUAUUGAUCUUGAACGGUUCUUUGAUACGGUGAACCAUGACCGAUUAAUGAAUCUUGUCGCACGAACAGUGGAGGACGGGGAUGUCAUCUCACUCAUUCGAAAAUUUCUUGUCAGUGGUGUACAGAUUGAUGAGGAAUACAAGGAAACGAUCAUUGGCACCCCGCAAGGAGGAAACCUUUCACCUUUACUAAGUAAUAUCAUGCUUCAUGAACUUGAUAUGGAACUUGAGAAUAGAGGACUUAGGUUUGUGAGAUAUGCAGAUGACUGCAUCAUCUUUGCCAAAAGCCAAAUGGCAGCGAAUCGAAUUAUGCGUUCGAUCACCCGUUUUAUAGAAGAAAAGUUAGGUUUAAUUGUAAAUGCAGACAAAUCAAAAGUAACGAAUCCAAACAAUACGGACUUUAAAUUUCUCGGCUUUGGUUUCUACAAAGAUUACUAUGCAAAGCAAUAUAAAGCGAAACCGCAUCAUAAAUCAGUAGAGCGUUUCAAAUAUAAACUGAAACAAUUAACCAAGAGGAAUUGGAGCAUUGACACAAAGUAUCGUGUCGGACGAAUCAAUCAAGUGAUACGAGGUUGGGUUAACUACUUUAAAAUUGGCUACAUGAAAAAGCUUCUGAUGAACAUUGAUGCCCAUCUGCGUGUUCGAUUGCGUGCAUGUAUAUGGACAAAAUGGAAGACGGCGAAAAACCGUCGAAAGAACCUCAUAAAAUUGGGGUUAAAGCGAAAUAAAGCAUAUGAAUAUAGCCAUUCAAGUAAAGGUGCGACGCGAGUCGCGUACUCGUGGAUAUUAGCGACUACGAUUACUAAUGAAAGACUUGCCCGCUUCGGACUAGUCUCAGGAUUAGAACACUACAAUCAAAUACAUGCUUAAUAUAAAACUGAACCGCCGUAUACGGAUCCGUACAUACGGUGGUGUGAGGGGACGGAUAAUCAAAUAAUGAUUAUCCUCCUACUCGAUUUUCUAUUUAUAU